AGUGAACGCUGGCGGUAGGCCUAACACAUGCAAGUCGAACGGCGGCACAGUAAGAGCUUGCUCUUACGGGUGGCGAGUGGCGGACGGGUGAGGAAUACAUCGGAAUCUACUAUUUCGUGGGGGAUAACGUAGGGAAACUUACGCUAAUACCGCAUACGACCUACGGGUGAAAGCAGGGGAUCUUCGGACCUUGCGCGAUUGAAUGAGCCGAUGUCGGAUUAGCUAGUUGGCGGGGUAAAGGCCCACCAAGGCGACGAUCCGUAGCUGGUCUGAGAGGAUGAUCAGCCACACUGGAACUGAGACACGGUCCAGACUCCUACGGGAGGCAGCAGUGGGGAAUAUUGGACAAUGGGCGCAAGCCUGAUCCAGCCAUACCGCGUGGGUGAAGAAGGCCUUCGGGUUGUAAAGCCCUUUUGUUGGGAAAGAAAAGCAGCAGGUUAAUACCCCGCUGUUCUGACGGUACCCAAAGAAUAAGCACCGGCUAACUUCGUG
This 492-nucleotide ribosomal RNA is filed under the name uncultured bacterium. Its description in RNAcentral is "partial 16S ribosomal RNA". It matches the Rfam family "Bacterial small subunit ribosomal RNA", at positions 29 to 507 of the family's 1533-position model. The record is from RNAcentral.